CCUUGGACCAAUCUAUAGUUUGUACUUGGAACUGCAAGGCUUGAAACAAGGUUCUUCUUAAGUACUUUUUAACGUCAACACGAAUUUCACUUCCAGCUUACGGCUUCCUCUUUAUAGCCACAUAACUUAAUGCUAGCUUUCACAAAAUCCAUAGCAAAACUCCUCUUGAACAUCUCCUUGGGAAUAUCUAUAUUAGACUUAUGUC
Molecule: long non-coding RNA, 205 nt
Filed under: Theobroma cacao (cacao)
Lineage: Eukaryota; Viridiplantae; Streptophyta; Magnoliopsida; Malvales; Malvaceae
Description: long non-coding RNA (TCAC_LNC002330)
Source: RNAcentral